This 1346-nucleotide ribosomal RNA is filed under the name uncultured bacterium. RNAcentral's name for it is "partial 16S ribosomal RNA". It matches the Rfam family "Bacterial small subunit ribosomal RNA", at positions 28 to 1381 of the family's 1533-position model. The record is from RNAcentral.
GACGAACGCUGGCGGCGUGCUUAACACAUGCAAGUCGAACGGAAAGGCCCUGCUUUUGUGGGGUGCUCGAGUGGCGAACGGGUGAGUAACACGUGAGUAACCUGCCCUUGACUUUGGGAUAACUUCAGGAAACUGGGGCUAAUACCGGAUAGGAGCUCCUGCUGCAUGGUGGGGGUUGGAAAGUUUCGGCGGUUGGGGAUGGACUCGCGGCUUAUCAGCUUGUUGGUGGGGUAGUGGCUUACCAAGGCUUUGACGGGUAGCCGGCCUGAGAGGGUGACCGACCACAUUGGGACUGAGAUACGGCCCAGACUCCUACGGGAGGCAGCAGUGGGGAAUAUUGCACAAUGGGCGGAAGCCUGAUGCAGCAACGCCGCGUGCGGGAUGACGGCCUUCGGGUUGUAAACCGCUUUCGCCUGUGACGAAGCGUGAGUGACGGUAAUGGGUAAAGAAGCACCGGCUAACUACGUGCCAGCAGCCGCGGUGAUACGUAGGGUGCGAGCGUUGUCCGGAUUUAUUGGGCGUAAAGGGCUCGUAGGUGGUUGAUCGCGUCGGAAGUGUAAUCUUGGGGCUUAACCCUGAGCGUGCUUUCGAUACGGGUUGACUUGAGGAAGGUAGGGGAGAAUGGAAUUCCUGGUGGAGCGGUGGAAUGCGCAGAUAUCAGGAGGAACACCAGUGGCGAAGGCGGUUCUCUGGGCCUUUCCUGACGCUGAGGAGCGAAAGCGUGGGGAGCGAACAGGCUUAGAUACCCUGGUAGUCCACGCUGUAAACGGUGGGUACUAGGUGUGGGGUCCAUUCCACGGGUUCCGUGCCGUAGCUAACGCUUUAAGUACCCCGCCUGGGGAGUACGGCCGCAAGGCUAAAACUCAAAGGAAUUGACGGGGCCCCGCACAAGCGGCGGAGCAUGCGGAUUAAUUCGAUGCAACGCGUAGAACCUUACCUGGGUUUGACAUGGAUCGGGAGUGCUCAGAGAUGGGUGUGCCUCUUUUGGGGUCGGUUCACAGGUGGUGCAUGGCUGUCGUCAGCUCGUGUCGUGAGAUGCUGGGUUAAGUCCCGCAACGAGCGCAACCCUUGUUCACUGUUGCCAGCACGUUAUGGUGGGGACUCAGUGGAGACCGCCGGGGUCAACUCGGAGGAAGGUGGGGAUGACGUCAAGUCAUCAUGCCCCUUAUGUCCAGGGCUUCACGCAUGCUACAAUGGCUGGUACAGAGAGUGGCGAGCCUGUGAGGGUGAGCGAAUCUCGGAAAGCCGGUCUCAGUUCGGAUUGGGGUCUGCAACUCGACCUCAUGAAGUCGGAGUCGCUAGUAAUCGCAGAUCAGCAACGCUGCGGUGAAUACGUUCCCGGGGCU